Molecule: ribosomal RNA, 479 nt
Filed under: uncultured bacterium
Lineage: Bacteria
Description: bacterial SSU rRNA
Rfam family: Bacterial small subunit ribosomal RNA
Source: RNAcentral
UGGCGGCAGGCCUAACACAUGCAAGUCGAGCGGUAACAUUUCUAGCUUGCUAGAAGAUGACGAGCGGCGGACGGGUGAGUAACGCGUAGAAAUCUACCUAGUAGUGGGGAGUAGCCCAGAGAAAUUUGGAUUAAUACCGCAUACGCCCUACGGGGGAAANCGGGGGAUCUUCGGACCUCGUGCUAUUAGAUGAGUCUGCGUCGGAUUAGCUUGUUGGUGAGGUAAUGGCUCACCAAGGCGACGAUCCGUAGCUGGUCUGAGAGGAUGACCAGCCACACUGGAACUGAGACACGGUCCAGACUCCUACGGGAGGCAGCAGUGGGGAAUAUUGCACAAUGGGCGCAAGCCUGAUGCAGCCAUGCCGCGUGUGUGAAGAAGGCCUUAGGGUUGUAAAGCACUUUCAGCAGUGAGGAAAGGGGUGUCGUUAAUAGCGCCAUCCUGUGACGUUAACUGCAGAAGAAGGACCGGCUAACUCCGUG